AUUGAACGCUGGCGGCAGGCUUAACACAUGCAAGUCGAGCGGGGUGAUGGUGCUUGCACUAUCACUUAGCGGCGGACGGGUGAGUAAUGCUUAGGAAUCUGCCUAUUAGUGGGGGACAACAUCUCGAAAGGGAUGCUAAUACCGCAUACGUCCUACGGGAGAAAGCAGGGGAUCACUUGUGACCUUGCGCUAAUAGAUGAGCCUAAGUCGGAUUAGCUAGUUGGUGGGGUAAAGGCCUACCAAGGCGACGAUCUGUAGCGGGUCUGAGAGGAUGAUCCGCAACACUGGGACUGAUACACGGCCCAGACGCCGACGGGAGGCAGCAGUGGGGAAUAUUGGACAAUGGGGGGAACCCUGAUCCAGCCAUGCCGCGUGUGUGAAGAAGGCCUUAUGGUUGUAAAGCACUUUAAGCGAGGAGGAGGCUCUUUUGGUUAAUACCCAAGAUGAGUGGACGUUACUCGCAGAAUAAGCACCGGCUAACUCUGUGCCAGCAGCCGCCGUAA
RNAcentral lists this ribosomal RNA (503 nucleotides) under uncultured bacterium. Its description in RNAcentral is "partial 16S ribosomal RNA". It matches the Rfam family "Bacterial small subunit ribosomal RNA", at positions 30 to 523 of the family's 1533-position model. The record is from RNAcentral.